Molecule: long non-coding RNA, 291 nt
Organism: Alligator sinensis (Chinese alligator)
Lineage: Eukaryota; Metazoa; Chordata; Crocodylia; Alligatoridae
Exons: 3
Source: RefSeq, a predicted model, not a curated record
CAAUUAGUAAUAAAGAUGAAGGACUAUUAGCUUGGUUACACACUCAUUGAGUAUCCCAAUGCUGUAUUCUCUACUCAGCCAGCAGUCUGUAUGUUAACAAGGUGGAAGCUGAGACACAUUAUAACACGUGAUAGCCAACAGCAUCUUUCAUGAAUUGAGGACACCAGAACUGGGUACACUAUUUUAGCUGCAGUCACCCAAGUACCAAAUACAGGGUGUUCACAUGGCAUUUCUCAGAGCUAGAAGCAAGAAAAAGCAGCACAAUUCCAACAAGAAGUUUUCAACUAACAC